Molecule: ribosomal RNA, 482 nt
Filed under: uncultured bacterium
Lineage: Bacteria
Description: partial 16S ribosomal RNA
Rfam family: Bacterial small subunit ribosomal RNA
Source: RNAcentral
GACGAACGCUGGCGGCGUGCUUAACACAUGCAGGUCGAACGAUGAAACCUAGCUUGCUAGGUCGAUUAGUGGCGAACGGGUGAGUAACACGUGACUAACCUGCCCCUUUCUCUGGGAUAACGCUCCGAAAGGAGUGCUAAUACCGGAUACUCACACCGAGGCACAUGCCUUGGUGUGGAAAGUUUUUCGGAAAGGGAUGGAGUCGCGGCCUAUCAGCUUGUUGGUGAGGUAACGGCUCACCAAGGCGACGACGGGUAGCCGGCCUGAGAGGGCGACCGGCCACACUGGGACUGAGACACGGCCCAGACUCCUACGGGAGGCAGCAGUGGGGAAUAUUGCACAAUGGGCGCAAGCCCGAUGCAGCGACGCCGCGUGAGGGAUGAAGGUCUUCGGAUUGUAAACCUCUUUCAGUAGGGACGAAGCGAAAGUGACGGUACCUAAAGAAGAAGCACCGGCUAACUACGUGCCAGCCGCCGCCGUAA